This 244-nucleotide unclassified non-coding RNA is filed under the name Hevea brasiliensis (rubber tree). The record is from RNAcentral. Lineage: Eukaryota; Viridiplantae; Streptophyta; Magnoliopsida; Malpighiales; Euphorbiaceae.
UGCGGUCCAGCGCCGCCGUCGGCCGCUUGCCUGUUUCCUGAAUGGGGUGGGUUGGAAACUCCAUCGCAAUGCCGCCGGCCUCGCGGAUGCCCUCGCGCACGCGCUGCGCGAGCUCAAUAUGAUGGCGGUUGCAGNUCGUUGCCGGUCUGGGCGAUGCCGAUAAUAGGCUUGCCGGAUUGCAGUUCGUGCCGCGUCAGCCCGUAAUUCAGAUACCGCUCAAGAUAAAGGGCCGUCAUUCCCGGAU